This 327-nucleotide ribosomal RNA is filed under the name uncultured eukaryote. RNAcentral describes it as "partial 18S ribosomal RNA". It matches the Rfam family "Eukaryotic small subunit ribosomal RNA", at positions 1470 to 1796 of the family's 1831-position model. The record is from RNAcentral.
CCCUUAGAUGUUCUGGGCCGCACGCGCGCUACACUGAUGAAUGCAACGAGCUCUACCCUUGACCGAAAGGCCCGGGUAAACUUGUGAAACUUCAUCGUGAUGGGGAUAGAUUAUUGCAAUUAUUAAUCUUCAACGAGGAAUUCCUAGUAAGCGCGAGUCAUCAGCUCGCGUUGAUUACGUCCCUGCCCUUUGUACACACCGCCCGUCGCUCCUACCGAUUGAAUGGUCCGGUGAAAUCUUCGGAUUGCUGACCAAGAUCCAGCAAUGGAGUUUGGUUGCGAGAAGUUGAUUAAACCUUAUUAUUUAGAGGAAGGAGAAGUCGUAACA